GAUAAAAAUCAGGGGAGCCUUAUAGGCUGAGAAAUCCUUCGAAUUGAGGGUGACCCUUGGAACCUGAUCUGGGUAAUGCCAGCGAAGGGAGAUAGACGAUAUUAAAG
This 107-nucleotide non-coding RNA is filed under the name Candidatus Schekmaniibacteriota. RNAcentral's name for it is "Candidatus Schekmanbacteria TPP sequence". It matches the Rfam family "TPP riboswitch aptamer (THI element)". Rfam says of the family: Vitamin B(1) in its active form thiamin pyrophosphate (TPP) is an essential coenzyme that is synthesised by coupling of pyrimidine and thiazole moieties in bacteria. The previously detected thiamin-regulatory element, thi box was extended, resulting in a new, highly conserved RNA secondary structure, the THI element, which is widely distributed in eubacteria and also occurs in some archaea. Analysis of operon structures identified a large number of new candidate thiamin-regulated genes, mostly transporters, in various prokaryotic organisms. The record is from RNAcentral.